AAAAAUAAUUCAUUAAGAGAAAAGAUUACAAGGUGAUUACCGACUCCACGAACUCGACCUCUCUUAACCUCUUACGAACCUCCGCGUAAUCCUCCGGGUUGUCCACGCCCUCACGUUCAAAUCCACGAACGCCACGUUCCGAGUCAACGAAACGCCACCACUUCGAAUCCACGAAACUCCACCACUUCGAAUCCACGAAGCUAUCGAUUCGAAUCCUCAAACCCUUGACAACGUCGAAUCCACGACGCCUCACGUCGAAUCCACGACGUCGUUCAUGAGAAGCAUCAUGAGUAUUGUGAUCCUUCGCUUAGAGUAUCGUAGAAAACCAAGGAAGAGAACUCCAAGUGAAGCGUAGAUCAAAUCGACAUAUAGAUCGAAAAUUCCAAUACCUCGAUUUGACCUAAAAGAUGCUAAUAUGUAGAAAAUAGGUUUUAAAUGAAAUCCGAGCCUUUAGGGUUUCUCAAACAUGUAUUUUCAUGAUGUUUAAUGAGUUAGAGAACCCCCAAUAGCUUAUUUAUAGGCUUUAGAAUCAAUUGGAGUCGGAUUAGAAAGUUUUCACAAUUUUACACUGUGUACCGGUACACUUUAAGCUGUUACCAAUUAUAUGAUGAUGGAACGAAAAAACCUGACGAAACAUAAAACCGGUUACAUGUUGAUGGUUGUACCGGUACACAUUUUGUACCGGUACACUUCUGAUGCUGUACCGGUACACUUUGCAAAUUUCCACCGUUUCGGGUUUUGCAAAAUUUCGAUGCACUUUCUAAUCCAGUAAACUUUGAUAUUAUGAUUCUAAUGCCUACAACUAAGUAUAAAUCACCAUAACAUGAAAUAAAAUUUGACCUGAGCAUCGUGAUUCACGUCGUGAGUUAUUUUUCAAUUUCUUCGAAGUCUUUCAUUCUUCGAUCUUCGUCGAUUCGCUUUGAUCCUUCAAGACUCCGACUCACUUCACGAAACUUGCCAAUACAAAAUCCUUAACAGCAUGAAGAAACAUAUUAGCAAAUUCGUGACAAAACUCACAACAACGCAAAAAUUACAACUGAAAAAAGAGCGCCGGUUUCCGGCGGGAAAGUUGCAAAGCAUAUCUAUACCCAUUUGGAAAUGGGAGAAUAUCGCAAUGGACUUCGUAACCGGUUUGCUUCAAUCACAAGGCGGACACAGCGCAAUUUGGGUGAUAGUGGACCGAUUGACGAAGUCGGCGCACUUUUUGCCGAUUCAUACUACGUGGUCGGGAGACAAGUUGGCUCAAGUACAUCUCGACGAGGUUGUAAGGCUUCAUGGGGUUUCCGUGUCUAUUGUAUCGGAUCGAGACCCGAGGUUCACGUCUCACUUUUGGAGGAGCCUACAGGAUGUGAUGGGCACACGGCUCAAUUUUAGUAUGGCAUUUCAUCCUCGGUUCGGUAAUCCGACGAGUCUAAGUAAUGAUUUUGGGUAAAAAGCCUAAUUUGGCUUCGUUAUAGGCAUCAAAAAAUUCUAAGAAUUGAACCAUAGCACCCUUGCAACCAUACGAGGUGGGUGGUGCAUUCCGAAAACGUUGAAUUUCCUCUUAUGUCUAGAGUGUCAUUCUUGAGCAUAUGUUUGUAUACUUUGUUCAUGCAUUGUAGGGUGAGUAGAAUGUGUAAAAUUGCAUGCUUAGAGUAUAAGAUGUAUUCGAGAUAUUAUGAGUUAUUGAAAACAUCUUAAACCCUAUGUUUGCAUGAAAAGUAAUAAAGACCUAGAUGAGGUAUAGAACGAAAUGACAUUAUGACAUAUAGAUUGUGUGGCAUUAAUAUACACAUAGAGUGUGGCAUCAAAGAGUUUGAAUGCUAGAGUUUGACACUUAGUGAGUGUGGCAUUAGUGAAUGAGUAUAAAGAACAAAGUAGUGUAUAUGACACUAGUGAAAGUUAAAGAAUGCAAGAAAAGAGAGAUAGUGACACUGUGACAUAGUAACCUUAAAGUUAAGGGUCACAUGAGCAUUGAAAUCUUUAAAGCUAAGAAUUGAUCAUACUCGCCUAUAGUCUUGGCUUGAGGAAGGUCGCUCCUCCUCGAGCGAUAAGCUCCGGAGUUGUCAUCACUAAGAAGGGAAUCCCCAGAAGAACGUUCCAUCGGGAGGAAGCUGAGAGCCCGAUAUUAGGGAUUUGAGUUGGUGAGUUAUAGAACCCUGCGGGAGGAAGCUGAGGGCCCGACGGGUUAGCCACGAGAUUGUGUAAAGGAAAAGUAAACUUGCAUUCAUCAUGAGCAUUUCAUUGAGCAUAUGAUUGAUUAUAUUUUGUUCAGGCAUAUUAGCUGCAUUUGUUAGUUUGUUACUAUCCAUUCUUUUUUCUAUUAUGCCUGAUUUAGACCUAGUAGGAAAGUCGGCGAGGUCGGCAGCCGAACCUACUAGGAACUUUGUUGUAGUUCUCACCCAUNACAAGGUGAUUACCGACUCCACGAACUCGACCUCUCUUAACCUCUUACGAACCUCCGCGUAAUCCUCCGGGUUGUCCACGCCCUCACGUUCGAAACCACGAACGCCACGUUCCGAGUCCACGAAAUGCCACCACUUCGAAUCCACGAAGCUCCACUACUUCGAAUCCACGAAGCUAUCGAUACGAAUCCUCGAACUCUUGACCACGUCGAAUCCACGACACCUCAGGCCGAAUCCACGACGCCGUUCAUGAGAAGC
This 2642-nucleotide long non-coding RNA is filed under the name Ananas comosus (pineapple). RNAcentral's name for it is "long non-coding RNA (ACOM_LNC044318)". The record is from RNAcentral. Lineage: Eukaryota; Viridiplantae; Streptophyta; Magnoliopsida; Poales; Bromeliaceae.